GACGAACGCUGGCGGCGUGCUUAACACAUGCAGGUCGAGCGGUAAGGCCCUUUCGGGGGUACACGAGCGGCGAACGGGUGAGUAACACGUGGGUGACCUGCCCUCAGCUCUGGGAUAAGCCUGGGAAACCGGGUCUAAUACUGGAUAUGACUCCAUGACGCAUGUUGUGGGGUGGAAAGCCUUGUGCGGCUGAGGAUGGGCCCGCGGCCUAUCAGCUUGUUGGUGGGGUGAUGGCCUACCAAGGCGACGACGGGUAGCCGGCCUGAGAGGGCGACCGGCCACACUGGGACUGAGACACGGCCCA
This 304-nucleotide ribosomal RNA is filed under the name uncultured bacterium. RNAcentral describes it as "bacterial SSU rRNA". It matches the Rfam family "Bacterial small subunit ribosomal RNA", at positions 28 to 333 of the family's 1533-position model. The record is from RNAcentral.